This 253-nucleotide ribosomal RNA is filed under the name uncultured bacterium. RNAcentral describes it as "partial 16S ribosomal RNA". It matches the Rfam family "Bacterial small subunit ribosomal RNA", at positions 524 to 776 of the family's 1533-position model. The record is from RNAcentral.
UACGGAGGGGGCUAGCGUUGUUCGGAAUCACUGGGCUUAAAGGGCGCGUAGGCGGCCGAUCAAGUCGGGGGUGAAAGCCUGUGGCUCAACCACAGAAUUGCCUUCGAUACUGUUUGGCUUGAGACCGGAAGAGGUUAGUGGAACUGCGAGUGUAGAGGUGAAAUUCGUAGAUAUUCGCAAGAACACCAGUGGCGAAGGCGGCUGACUGGUCCGGUUCUGACGCUGAGGCGCGAAAGCGUGGGGAGCAAACAGG